This 494-nucleotide ribosomal RNA is filed under the name uncultured bacterium. Its description in RNAcentral is "partial 16S ribosomal RNA". It matches the Rfam family "Bacterial small subunit ribosomal RNA", at positions 28 to 507 of the family's 1533-position model. The record is from RNAcentral.
GAUGAACGCUGGCGGCGUGCCUAAUACAUGCAAGUAGAACGCUGAAGGAGGAGCUUGCUCUUCUGGAUGAGUUGCGAACGGGUGAGUAACGCGUAGGUAACCUGCCUGGUAGCGGGGGAUAACUAUUGGAAACGAUAGCUAAUACCGCAUGACAACAGUUAUUGCAUGAUAACUGUUUAAAAGGGGCAACUGCUCCACUACCAGAUGGACCUGCGUUGUAUUAGCUAGUUGGUGAGGUAACGGCUCACCAAGGCGACGAUACAUAGCCGACCUGAGAGGGUGAUCGGCCACACUGGGACUGAGACACGGCCCAGACUCCUACGGGAGGCAGCAGUAGGGAAUCUUCGGCAAUGGACGGAAGUCUGACCGAGCAACGCCGCGUGAGUGAAGAAGGUUUUCGAUCGUAAAGCUCUGUUGUAAGAGAAGAACGAGUGUGAGAGUGGAAAGUUCACACUGUGACGGUAUCUUACCAGAAAGGGACGGCUAACUACGUG